This 359-nucleotide ribosomal RNA is filed under the name uncultured bacterium. Its description in RNAcentral is "partial 16S ribosomal RNA". It matches the Rfam family "Bacterial small subunit ribosomal RNA", at positions 338 to 714 of the family's 1533-position model. The record is from RNAcentral.
CCUACGGGGGGCAGCAGUGGGGAAUAUUGCACAAUGGGGGAAACCCUGAUGCAGCGACGCCGCGUGAGUGAAGAAGUAUUUCGGUAUGUAAAGCUCUAUCAGCAGGGAAGAAAAUGACGGUACCUGAUUAAGAAGCCCCGGCUAACUACGUGCCAGCAGCCGCGGUAAUACGUAGGGGGCAAGCGUUAUCCGGAUUUACUGGGUGUAAAGGGAGCGUAGACGGCAGCACAAGUCUGGAGUGAAAUGCCGGGGCUUAACCCCGGAACUGCUUUGGAAACUGUGCAGCUAGAGUGCAGGAGAGGUAAGUGGAAUUCCUGGGGUGGGGGUGAAAGGCGUAGAUAUUGGGAGGAACACCAGGG